RNAcentral lists this unclassified non-coding RNA (20 nucleotides) under Mus musculus (house mouse). RNAcentral describes it as "oocyte_clustered_small_RNA12175". Lineage: Eukaryota; Metazoa; Chordata; Mammalia; Rodentia; Muridae. The record is from RNAcentral.
GGGGAGCCUGGGCGCCUCGG